RNAcentral lists this ribosomal RNA (253 nucleotides) under uncultured bacterium. Its description in RNAcentral is "partial 16S ribosomal RNA". It matches the Rfam family "Bacterial small subunit ribosomal RNA", at positions 524 to 776 of the family's 1533-position model. The record is from RNAcentral.
UACGAACCGUCCAAACGUUAUUCGGAAUCACUGGGCUUAAAGCGUGUGUAGGCGGACUUCUAAGUACCUUGUGAAAUCCCACGGCUCACCCGUGGAACUGCUCGGUAUACUGGUUGUCUUGAGCCACUUAGGGGCUACCGGAACAAAUGGUGGAGCGGUGAAAUGCGUAGAUAUCAUUUGGAACGCCAAUGGUGAAAACAGGUAGCUGGGAGUGUGCUGACGCUGAGACACGAAAGCCAGGGGAGCGAACGGG